GACAUUUCUUAAUCUCCUAUCCUCAACUAUGCCAUAUAAAAUUACUAUCAAGGAAAAGUCAUGAGAAAGUCUAAUAAGCAAAUGUGAGAAAGUUACCAAGUAAUUACUCUUACCAUCUUAAUUUUCUGGGGUUUCCGUUCAUAGAACAAACACAAGUUAGAUUGAAUUUCUCUUUUCCCACUUUAUAAUUUAGAAGUGACACCAAGGGCCAUCUCUCCCAAGAAAUGCCAGAGGUCUUUGGCCUAGUGAAUGUAGCUAAGCCUAUAUAUUCAUUAUGAACAAAAUAAUAAGAACCUUCUUUCUUUUGAGUAGGUAGUUUGCAACUUUGGGAAGUGAAAAACUAAAUCAUUCCCGACUGAGACCUUCAUCUUGAAAAAAUUAAUUCUAUCAAGACAUUUAUUCACAAUCUGUCAAUUGAACUAGAAAUAACCUAAAGUCCCUUUCAAGUCUUAAAAUUGAAUGAAUUUAUAUAUACCCUUUAAAAAACAGCAGACUCCUUGUGACUUAGAACAAGAUGUGUUUCCAAUACUUUAUUUACAAUUACCUGCUAAUUACUAAUGAUCAUGGGAGAUGGAAUAGAUAGGGCAAAUAAAUCAAAACAGAAAAAUAAUCAAAAAGCUUCUAUUACUGAAGAGUAGUAGUUUUUUUCCUGCUAUUAUAGUUUUCAGCACAUAUUUAUUUUUCCCGUUUAUGGUUUCCUUAGACCAAUAUUAAAAUCAAUUUAUAUUACCUAAGCACAUUUCAAUAGAUAACCAGAAAUAUUCUAGGUAGAAUAGAUAAAACAUUCUUUAAUUUAAAGUGAAUGGGCAAAAUUCAAUAGUCGGUAUUUCUCAAAGGAAAUUCAUAAAACUGUACAUUUAAAUUACCUUGGGUGCUUACUAAAAAUGCAUGGACAAUAUCCCAGAAUUUUCUUACCACAUUCUCUGUGAUUAAGGAUGGGGAAUUUUCAUUUUAACAUGCUACCCAACUGAUUUUAAAAUGUGCUAAAUUUUGGCAACCUACAUAUUUUCAUGAUGCAGAAUCAACAUCAUUUCAUUCUAAAAACUACAUU
This 1051-nucleotide long non-coding RNA is filed under the name Macaca fascicularis (crab-eating macaque). RNAcentral's name for it is "lncRNA (ENSMFAG00000061585.1)". Lineage: Eukaryota; Metazoa; Chordata; Mammalia; Primates; Cercopithecidae. The record is from RNAcentral.